RNAcentral lists this transfer RNA (77 nucleotides) under Mycoplasma zalophidermidis. Its description in RNAcentral is "tRNA-Asp". It matches the Rfam family "tRNA". From Rfam's summary of the family: Transfer RNA (tRNA) molecules are approximately 80 nucleotides in length. Their secondary structure includes four short double-helical elements and three loops (D, anti-codon, and T loops). Further hydrogen bonds mediate the characteristic L-shaped molecular structure. tRNAs have two regions of fundamental functional importance: the anti-codon, which is responsible for specific mRNA codon recognition, and the 3' end, to which the tRNAs corresponding amino acid is attached (by aminoacyl-tRNA synthetases). tRNAs cope with the degeneracy of the genetic code in two manners: having more than one tRNA (with a specific anti-codon) for a particular amino acid; and 'wobble' base-pairing, i.e. permitting non-standard base-pairing at the 3rd anti-codon position. Lineage: Bacteria; Bacillati; Mycoplasmatota; Mollicutes; Mycoplasmatales; Mycoplasmataceae. RNAcentral also lists the same sequence under 2 other names. The record is from RNAcentral.
GGUCCAGUGGUAAAGUGGUUUAAUACGCCUCCCUGUCACGGAGGAGAUCGCGGGUUCAAUCCCCGUCUGGACCGCCA